This 515-nucleotide ribosomal RNA is filed under the name uncultured bacterium. RNAcentral describes it as "partial 16S ribosomal RNA". It matches the Rfam family "Bacterial small subunit ribosomal RNA", at positions 28 to 523 of the family's 1533-position model. The record is from RNAcentral.
GAUGAACGCUGGCGGCGUGCCUAAUACAUGCAAGUCGAGCGAAUGGAUUAAGAGCUUGCUCUUAUGAAGUUAGCGGCGGACGGGUGAGUAACACGUGGGUAACCUGCCCAUAAGACUGGGAUAACUCCGGGAAACCGGGGCUAAUACCGGAUAACAUUUUGAACCGCAUGGUUCGAAAUUGAAAGGCGGCUUCGGCUGUCACUUAUGGAUGGACCCGCGUCGCAUUAGCUAGUUGGUGAGGUAACGGCUCACCAAGGCAACGAUGCGUAGCCGACCUGAGAGGGUGAUCGGCCACACUGGGACUGAGACACGGCCCAGACUCCUACGGGAGGCAGCAGUAGGGAAUCUUCCGCAAUGGACGAAAGUCUGACGGAGCAACGCCGCGUGAGUGAUGAAGGCUUUCGGGUCGUAAAACUCUGCUGUUAGGGAAGAACAAGUGCUAGUUGAAUAAGCUGGCACCUUGACGGUACCUAACUAGAAAGCCACGGCUAACUACGUGCCAGCAGCCGCCGUAA